RNAcentral lists this ribosomal RNA (762 nucleotides) under Triticum aestivum (bread wheat). RNAcentral's name for it is "partial small subunit ribosomal RNA". The record is from RNAcentral. Lineage: Eukaryota; Viridiplantae; Streptophyta; Magnoliopsida; Poales; Poaceae.
AUGGAGGAUAGAAGCAACUCCAAUAAGAGGAAAGGAGACGGCGAGCAGGAGGGAAGAAAAAGCGGUUGCAAGAGGCAGAAUGUGAGCACGGUGAUGGAGGUAUUCGACUGCACCGUCUGCUCCAAGCCCCUGAGGCCUCCCAUUUUCCAGUGUUCCAAGGGAAACUCCAUCUGCCGGCAUUGCCAGGAGAGGCUCCCGUUAUUCGAACGGAUCCCCGUCCAGCGCUGCUACAUCAUGGAGCGCGUCGUCGACAACAUCUUUGUUCCCUGCAAACACGGAUGCUCCACGACGAUCGCUUACUACCAGAAGGAAAAGCACGAGAGGCAGUGCCCUUGUGGCCCGUGCUUGUGCCCGGUCUCCGGCUGUGGCUUCGUCGCGCCAACCACGGUGCUCCUGGACCAUCUUGCCACUGUGCACAAGUUGCCAACAACACCGAUGGAGUUAUUCAAGCCGUUCGAAGUCCCGGUGCUGCCGGGCUCCCGAGUUCUCAAAACCAAAUACAACCGCCUCUUCCUGCUCAAGAUGGAUGCGCUGGAGUCCUACGGCCAUGGCGUCUCACUCGUCUGCGUGCAGCCAGAAACUCCGGGAGGAAAUGUCCGAAUCACCGUGGGUUUCUCAUGCGCACCAGGACAUAAUCAUGAGUCAAAGUGGGAAAUGGGACCCAAUGGGGUACCAAAGCAAUGCUUGUGCAUCGUGCCUGGUAAAGAAACCGAUGUCGUGGCCACCAUCACAAUAGAGAGGGAGGACUAUGAGGAAGACUAA